This 376-nucleotide unclassified non-coding RNA is filed under the name uncultured bacterium. RNAcentral describes it as "contains 16S-23S intergenic spacer region". The record is from RNAcentral.
UCCGGUUUGGCACCGGCAGUCUCCAAUGAGUCCCCGGCAUUACCCGCUGGCAACUAAGGGCAGGGGUUGCGCUCGUUGCGGCACUUAAGCCAACACCUCACGGCACGAGCUGACGACAGCCAUGCAGCACCUGUGCAGGGCCCCGAAGGACACGGGCUUUCACCCGCUUUACCCUGCAUGUCAAGCCCAGGUAAGGUUCUUCGCGUUGCUUCGAAUUAAGCAACAUGCUCCACCGCUUGUGCGGGCCCCCGUCAAUUCCUUUGAGUUUCAGUCUUGCGACCGUACUCCCCAGGCGGAGUGCUUAAUGUGUUGGCUGCGACACCGCGGGGGUCAAUACCCACAGCAUCUAGCACUCAUCGUUUACGGCGUGGACUAC